Molecule: long non-coding RNA, 1416 nt
Organism: Leopardus geoffroyi (Geoffroy's cat)
Lineage: Eukaryota; Metazoa; Chordata; Mammalia; Carnivora; Felidae
Exons: 2
Source: RefSeq, a predicted model, not a curated record
ACGCCCAUCAAGCGCGACGUGCCGCUUUGCGCAGACAAAUGCCCAGUAGAAUCCCGCUUUGCUUGGAAGGUCACGCCCCCUAAGGGGAGGGCCGCGCGAGUUUUCACCAGGCUCGCCGCAGACAUUUGCCAAGUGCGGGGUCGCCCCGCCCCGGAGGAGGGGCCACCCUAUGCCCCGCCCCCCGCCGGCCGGGCUCCCCUGCGCUCUCCCAAGGCUGGGACUUAGGCCGCCUGGUUUCCCGGCGGACUUCGCGGCAUGCGCGCUGUGUGACCUUGGGCCAGCGUGCGCGCUCUGGGGUCUCUGUUUCCACGGGUAAAAUGGGAUGGUGUGGUGCUCUGGCCCUGCCAUCUGGAACCUACUGGAAUCCAUGACCUCUCCGACUUGAGUCCCUUGCGCGCCCUCCCCGCCCCAUCUGUGGGGACUCCCAGAGAGAGAGCAAGCUAGUGGGGGAGAGGAGCAGAGAGGAAGAGAGAGAAGAAAUCUUAAGCAGGCUCCACACCCAGCAUGGGGCUUGAAGGGGAGCUUGACGAUGGGCAGGUCAACCGGGAGAUCCAUCCCAUGACCCUGAGACCAUGACCUGCACCGAAAUCAAGAGGGGGCCGCUCAACCGACAGAACCAGCCAGGUACCCCGAUAAAGAGAUUAUUUUCAAAGUUUAUUUAUUUAUUUAUUUGAGAGAGACAGGGACAGCACAGCUGGGAAAGGAAGAGAUGAUGUUUCAAUGAGCAGAAGACACGGCAAGUGCAAAGACUAGAGGCCAGGUGGAGCAGGAGAAGGUAGUGUAGGUUUUAUUCCUACCACAAUGGGAAACUGCAUACCAGGCAGAGUCCCAAUAGGAUAGAGCAGACCCAUUCAAUAGGGUUUAAUGAAAAGGGUUCAGCAAAGGGGCGAUUUACCCCGGUGUGUGGGCAUGGGGAGGAUGGUGUUGUAAGGAAAUCAAUGGGCUGGUGCAGUCCCUGGGCUGGCAAUAGUGGGGAGCCACUAACCCCGAAACCUGAAGUAAGGAGGAGGGGGGGCGGUUUCCUAGAAGCAACAGGAGACUCAGUGAUGGGGUGAGGGGCCCCCCGGUGAAAAGCUGUGGCUAGAGAGACACAGUCACUGCCGAAACUGGGAGUAAGUCAGGGAAAUACCCCAACUUUUCUCUCCUCCCACCCUCUGAUGCCCGUCGGUGCCUCCCAUUGGCCGAAACCAACUGGGAGCCAAAGACCAAGGAUGCCCAGGUGAUGGCAUCCAGGGGGAUCAGCUUUGUUGGGGGUACACAGAGCGGGUGAAAACUGUGGCCAAUGGAUCUGGGAGGUGGGGGCUAAGUGGAGAAUAACCAGAGGUGUUCUAGAUGACCUUGAAGAUCUCUCCAGCCCUCUCUGAGCCAACUCUGUAACAGAAAUGGAUUGGACUCAAAAACUUCCCCUCUUGCUAA